This 332-nucleotide ribosomal RNA is filed under the name uncultured bacterium. RNAcentral describes it as "bacterial SSU rRNA". It matches the Rfam family "Bacterial small subunit ribosomal RNA", at positions 568 to 898 of the family's 1533-position model. The record is from RNAcentral.
CAUGCAGGCGGUCGGACGCGUUUUGUGUGACAGCGGGUGGCUUAACUACCCGAGUAUGCGAAAGACGGUCUGACUUGAGGGCUCGAGAGGGACACGGAAUUCCGGGUGGAGUGGUGAAAUGCGUAGAGAUCCGGAGGAACACCGAAGGCGAAGGCAGUGUCCUGGCGAGUGACUGACGCUGAGGUGCGAAAGCUAGGGGAGCGAACGGGAUUAGAUACCCCGGUAGUCCUGGCCGUAAACGAUGACCACCAGGUGUGGGAGGUAUCGACCCCUUCCGUGCCGGAGGAAACCCACUAAGUGGUCCGCCUGGGGAGUACGGUCGCAAGAUUAAA